UAGGGAAUCUUCGGCAAUGGGGGCAACCCUGACCGAGCAACGCCGCGUGAGUGAAGAAGGUUUUCGGAUCGUAAAGCUCUGUUGUAAGAGAAGAACGAGUGUGAGAGUGGAAAGUUCACACUGUGACGGUAACUUACCAGAAAGGGACGGCUAACUACGUGCCAGCAGCCGCGGUAAUACGUAGGUCCCGAGCGUUAUCCGGAUUUAUUGGGCGUAAAGCGAGCGCAGGCGGUUAGAUAAGUCUGAAGUUAAAGGCUGUGGCUUAACCAUAGUACGCUUUGGAAACUGUUUAACUUGAGUGCAGAAGGGGAGAGUGGAAUUCCAUGUGUAGCGGUGAAAUGCGUAGAUAUAUGGAGGAACACCGGUGGCGAAAGCGGCUCUCUGGUCUGUAACUGACGCUGAGGCUCGAAAGCGUGGGGAGCAAACAGGAUUAGAUACCCUGGUAGUCCACGCCGUAAACGAUGAGUGCUAGGUGUUGGGUCCUUUCCGGGGCUCAGUGCCGCAGCUAACGCAUUAAGCACUCCGCCUGGGGAGUACGACCGCAAGGUUG
This 550-nucleotide ribosomal RNA is filed under the name uncultured bacterium. RNAcentral's name for it is "bacterial SSU rRNA". It matches the Rfam family "Bacterial small subunit ribosomal RNA", at positions 355 to 896 of the family's 1533-position model. The record is from RNAcentral.